CUUCGGGGGACAAAGUGACAGGUGGUGCAUGGUUGUCGUCAGCUCGUGUCGUGAGAUGUUGGGUUAAGUCCCGCAACGAGCGCAACCCUUAAGCUUAGUUGCCAUCAUUAAGUUGGGCACUCUAAGUUGACUGCCGGUGACAAACCGGAGGAAGGUGGGGAUGACGUCAAAUCAUCAUGCCCCUUAUGAUUUGGGCUACACACGUGCUACAAUGGACAAUACAAAGGGCAGCGAAACCGCGAGGUCAAGCAAAUCCCAUAAAGUUGUUCUCAGUUCGGAUUGUAGUCUGCAACUCGACUACAUGAAGCUGGAAUCGCUAGUAAUCGUAGAUCAGCAUGCUACGGUGAAUACGUUCCCGGGUCUUGUACACACCGCCCGUCACACCACGAGAGUUUGUAACACCCGAAGCCGGUGGAGUAACCUUUUAGGAGCUAGCCGUCGAAGGUGGGACAAAUGAUUGGGGUGAAGUCGUAACAAGGUAGCCGUAUCGGAAGGUGCGGCUGGAUCACCUCCUUU
This 516-nucleotide ribosomal RNA is filed under the name Staphylococcus aureus. Its description in RNAcentral is "bacterial SSU rRNA". It matches the Rfam family "Bacterial small subunit ribosomal RNA", at positions 1017 to 1533 of the family's 1533-position model. Lineage: Bacteria; Bacillati; Bacillota; Bacilli; Caryophanales; Staphylococcaceae. The record is from RNAcentral.